UUAACAUCCGAAACAAUGAAUAAAUGCUUUCGCUUCUCCGAAUCAAUAUAUCGCUUGAUAUAUUAAAAUGAUAUUAAUAAACCACAUAACUGGUCGCUGAUAGACACAUUUAUUCUUCCGAAGAAUGCAAUAUGCACAUUAUUGCUGAUGUUUUACAUAAUAUCGCAUACGUGCACACUCUCGUAGAUUCACAACUCAAACCACAAAACUGUCAAGACCUAUUAUAUCACAAGUGCAAAAGUGAAAGCCGUCAAACUCAUUACCGGGAUCACAUUUUCCUGCGUAAUCUUCGCGUGUUAUCAGAACUGAACCGAGUAGAAAAAAAAAAAAAAAAGAACGAACCUAGGAAAUGCGAAACAAUAUAUCAAAUGGGCGUGCGAUUGGUUAAUAACAGCGUGUUCGUUGUAAAUGACUGGCAACGACGGUUGGUAAUUAGACCUUAGACCGGCACUUUCCUGGUAGAUACACGAGAGAGAUUGGCCAGUUAGAAAUACGCGAAAUCUCGUCUCGAUAACGCCGGUGAACCCUGAUGAACGCUGAUGAACACUGGUUCCCUAUGGUUCUGUAAUAAGCUACCGAUCUACCGCUACCUUCGCCAGUUUAUUCGUCUUCACGCGCCGUCGUAUAAUUACGGAGAAAGUACGCGAAGGAUGUUUCCAGUACGUUUUAUUACUGCGAAAGAGAAGAUUCGUACCCCUACUCGCGUUGCGCAACUCGUUGCACGACAAUUUUAUGAAGUGGCAGAGAGAUAACGGCGCCACAUGGUAUAUUGCGGGGUGAAAGAUCAGUCCUGUGCGAAGGAAUAUAUCCACGGAUUAUCUAAUAAUAAAUUGGAAACCGAUUGGAAAGAUCUCAUUAACUUAGGUGAUGGGCGAUACAUAAUCCUAAUCGAUUUAAGCGGGUCAUUCCACGGUACGUUAUGAUAGAAACCGAAUGUUCGCGUGAAUCAGAUCUGAAAUAUAAAUUUAAACAGAAUGUUUAAGAAUACAUAGAAUACAGAGAUCUAAGAUAAAAAUACUUUUACCGCCCACGAAAAAUAUAUCUGUCCAGAAAUUAAUACGCCACGGUAUAUACGAUAGUCCUCGACUCGUGACAGAUACAUCCAAAUAAAAAAUAACACCGCACCAAAAAAACAUUCCUCGGUUUCUUUACUCCGUAAAAGUCCUUUCACAGUUGGGCGGAUCCUGAACUUUCGGACCUAACCGCGUAUGAUAAUCGCCUUUCUGUUUAAGAUACCCCGACCGAAGCAUCCCCGACAGAUGAAAUCCGGUUUGAAAAAGGAACGAACCAUCCAACGGACGCCUAUGUUCUUCUAAAAAGCUAUUUUCAGGCCUCUCGUAAUUACAGACCUUCCGACAUCGGCCCUGAACUAUAAUGCACGCGGUGUGCCAAAUUCCUCCUGGCAGAAUGUUUCAAAAACGCGCCAGCCGCGUAUAAAUCUUCCCCGAGGAGAAGGAAGAAUCGAAGGGACCCCAUAGAAGUCGUCAAGCAUGGACGACGACCAGUUUAUCUAACGCGUCCUGCCAGCUGCUACGCGUCGAAAUUUAUCGGAUUUAUCCAGCGUCGCGUCGCCUUUUAGAUUCGACUCGGAUAGGACGAUACUUACAAGACUCACGAGGGAAUGGAAGAAGCUUACGAAACAUAUUGGGUGACCGGGGGUCUGGUCCUUAAAUAACACCACAAUCCUACACUCUUUUUUUUUUUUUUUUAAAUAUUUCAGGUUCUCCAAUUAUGUUAUGCCGUCAGUGGACGCGAUAAAUUGUGAGCUUAUUUUCUUUGUGACUACGCCUAUGAGAUGGAGCUCUUUUAGUCGUGUUUGAAUUUUUAUGAAGCGUUUCCUAGGUGGAAUUUUGUUUGGACGGGAAUAUUAGAUCGUUCAAAUAAUGGGAAGAUAAUGAAUCACGGUACCUUCGUAAAUAUUAAAGAAUCUGACGUCACCGAAUAAUAAAGUAGUCACCCAAGUAUUGAAGAUGAAAAUAUAGUGUACGUCUAUUUAACCCCACGCACCUAUCACAACGCACGACUAUAUAUAGUUAUGUAUACAUGUACAUAUAAAGUCGUGUGCAAAUAACGAAUCGUGUCUAUUAACGGAAUUGUGGAAUGCCCGAGGGUAUUCCCGACGGUGCACCGUGCCAAGAGAUUUUGCAAACGAGCUGCGCAUGCAUACUCGCGCCAUAAAGGAAGUAUAAAAGGAAACGCUUCAAUGGCAUUUACAACCAUGAAAUUUACGAUUCGUCGGUGUUCGCGGCGUGCUUUCGUUUGCGCAGCAUUGCUGGUGGUACUUUGGUCCGAUAUUCCCGAUAGAACCGCGGAGCUUUCUAAAUUGACGUAAUACUUUAUCCUGUCGGAGAUUUAUGACGGAACGCUUGAGGUAGCAAGUCCUGAAAGAUUAGUUUCCUGCGGUACAGGAGAAUUUUCACGAGUAAAGUGUACCGUUUGACGCCUUUUAAAAAGGAUAUUUUUAGCGGAUCACUGUCCUUGGAGCAAUAUUUCAUAAAUUGUUUCAAUCGUUGCAUUUUAUAAUAUAUUUCAAAUGAAUAUUUUACUUGUAAAAGCUAAAUUGAAACUGAAAACGUAGAUAUAAAAGUUCCAAAAUUACUUAAAAAUUUACCUUAAAAGUCACGUUCAAGAAAAUUCGAGAAGCGAGAUAUCGAUCAAGAUAUCUUAUCGACGACCUUAAAUGCUCGACCUGUCGCGAAGCUCGGAGUUCAUCAUUCCACGAAUCGAAAAACCCGUCCGAGCUUCCUUGGAAGCGCGCGCAUAAUGUCUGCGCGUUUCCAUAAUCUCAGCUGCGCACGUGGAAACGGUUCGAAAAGGGCAUAGACAGGGAACCGCUGCGCAUUUCUGCCUUGGUCACCAAUAAAUAUCGAACUUUCAUUUGCAGAUACCGUGGCUGCGUUCGGUGCAGCGCUGCAUUUCACUGGAUUGCCUUAUGCAGACAAAAGGUCCGCCACCGUCGGACACCAUACGUUGAUACUGUUCCCCGUGGUAAAAAGCUGAGGCUAAGAGCUAUUGACACGAGGUGAAAGAUCCGUUCUUUAACCGUCCGACGAUAACAAUUCAUCUCUUAAUCGGAAAUGUUCGUGUUCGCUGAGCAUUAGGGUGGUUCUUAUUUUAACGAUUAUCGAUAUCUAUGUUACGCACCCCCUAAAUACCUUGCAAAUAGAUAAAUCAGUUGCGUAUACAAAAAUUCCUGCAAAGGUCUUAAUUAAUUAAUUUAAGCUCUAAAUUAUCUAUUGUAGUUCAACACAUUAUAUUCUGAUUUAAGACAAGGUUUUACGCGAAGUCCUCUAAAAAGCUUCUAUAAUGUAUUAAUUAAUUAUUUUAGAGAACGCACGAAGCUGAACGUGGUUGCUUCGAAUAGAAUGUAAUAUUACGAAUAUAAGAUUUGGAAAAUCUAUUGGGAAAAAUUGAAGGCAAAAACCACCCUUACUCAUACUUAUCCAUUGUUAAGAAAUGAAAUAAUCAUAUUUUCUGAUAAGUGUAAGUAAUUCUAAUCAGAUCUAUAAGAUGGAGGUUCACCAUCAAAUAUAUUAAAGGAAGCUGACAUUCUCAACUACUAAGACUUUAUA
This is a long non-coding RNA of Hylaeus volcanicus, 3572 nucleotides long. RefSeq lists it as uncharacterized. The record is from RefSeq and is a predicted model, not a curated record. The transcript is spliced from 3 exons. Lineage: Eukaryota; Metazoa; Arthropoda; Insecta; Hymenoptera; Colletidae.